UACGUAGGGGGCUAGCGUUGUCCGGAAUCAUUGGGCGUAAAGAGCGUGUAGGCGGCUCGGUAAGUCCGCUGUGAAAGUCCAGGGCUCAACCCUGGAAUGCCAGUGGAAACUGUCGAGCUAGAGUCCGGAAGAGGCGAGUGGAAUUCCUGGUGUAGCGGUGAAAUGCGCAGAUAUCAGGAGGAACACCAAUGGCGAAGGCAGCUCGCUGGGACGGUACUGACGCUGACGACGCGAAAGCGUGGGGAGCAAACAGG
RNAcentral lists this ribosomal RNA (254 nucleotides) under uncultured bacterium. Its description in RNAcentral is "partial 16S ribosomal RNA". It matches the Rfam family "Bacterial small subunit ribosomal RNA", at positions 524 to 776 of the family's 1533-position model. The record is from RNAcentral.